GACGAACGCUGGCGGCGUGCUUAACACAUGCAAGUCGAACGGAAAGGCCCUGCUUUUGUGGGGUGCUCGAGUGGCGAACGGGUGAGUAACACGUGAGUAACCUGCCCUUGACUUUGGGAUAACUUCAGGAAACUGGGGCUAAUACCGUAUAGGAGCUCCUGUUGCAUGGUGGGGGUUGGAAAGUUUCGGCGGUUGGGGAUGGACUCGCGGCUUAUCAGCUUGUUGGUGGGGUAGUGGCUUACCAAGGCUUUGACGGGUAGCCGGCCUGAGAGGGUGACCGGCCACAUUGGGACUGAGAUACGGACCAGACUCCUACGGGAGGCAGCAGUGGGGAAUAUUGCACAAUGGGCGGAAGCCUGAUGCAGCAACGCCGCGUGCGGGAUGACGGCCUUCGGGUUGUAAACCGCUUUCGCCUGUGACGAAGCGUGAGUGACGGUAAUGGGUAAAGAAGCACCGGCUAACUACGUG
RNAcentral lists this ribosomal RNA (468 nucleotides) under uncultured bacterium. RNAcentral's name for it is "partial 16S ribosomal RNA". It matches the Rfam family "Bacterial small subunit ribosomal RNA", at positions 28 to 507 of the family's 1533-position model. The record is from RNAcentral.